GCUUCUCUCUCGCCUCGGCCGCAGCCUCCGAGCCUCCCGCUACUUCGCCGACGCUACUCGCGUGUUCUGACGCGUUAAAACUUAAACGGACAGUGUUUAUUAACUGUGUAGUGGUAUUGCUCAACUUCACAAUGCUCGCGCUCCUUGUAGAGCUUCGCUAGAGUCGAUUUAACAAUGGAAACUGCUUACUACCUCACUCUAUUCUAGUAGCGUAUCCGUUUCCGAUUUAAGCCCUGCCUGGGCCACCAAGAGCGAGGUUCAUCUUUCACAUUCUUAAGCCAAUGGACUCCUUACUCUCACUAGUAAUUAAGUCAUUCAUUAGGUCCAUAAA
This is a long non-coding RNA of Pieris rapae (cabbage white), 331 nucleotides long. RefSeq lists it as uncharacterized. Lineage: Eukaryota; Metazoa; Arthropoda; Insecta; Lepidoptera; Pieridae. The transcript is spliced from 3 exons. The record is from RefSeq and is a predicted model, not a curated record.